UACGUAGGGGGCAAGCGUCAUCCGGAUUUACUGGGUGUAAAGGGAGCGUAGGCGGCCAUGUAAGUCAGAAGUGAAAGCCCGGGGCUCAACCCCGGGGCUGCUUUUGAGACUGUGUGGCUGGAGUGUCGGAGGGGUAAGUGGAAUUCCUAGUGUAGCGGUGAAAUGCGUAGAUAUUAGGAGGGACACCAGUGGCGAAGGCGGCUUACUGGACGAUCACUGACGCUGAAGCUCGAAAGCGUGGGGAGCAAACAGG
This 253-nucleotide ribosomal RNA is filed under the name uncultured bacterium. RNAcentral's name for it is "partial 16S ribosomal RNA". It matches the Rfam family "Bacterial small subunit ribosomal RNA", at positions 524 to 776 of the family's 1533-position model. The record is from RNAcentral.